Molecule: ribosomal RNA, 431 nt
Filed under: Megaselia pectorella
Lineage: Eukaryota; Metazoa; Arthropoda; Insecta; Diptera; Phoridae
Description: partial 16S ribosomal RNA
Source: RNAcentral
UUUUAGAAAUUAAUUUAAAGUUUGACCUGCCCACUGAAUUUUUUUAAAUGGCCGCAGUAUUUUAACUGUGCAAAGGUAGCAUAAUCAUUAGUCUUUUAAUUGGGGGCUGGAAUGAAUGGUUGAAUGAAAUAUUAACUGUUUCAAUUAAAUUUAUAGUAGAAUUUUAUUUUUUAGUGAAAAAGCUAAAAUAUAUUUAAAAGACGAGAAGACCCUAUAAAUCUUUAUAUUUUAUUUAUUUUGAUUAUUUAGAUAAUUUUAAUUAUUAUUUUUUAAAAUAUUUUAUUGGGGUGAUAUUAAAAUUUAAAUAACUUUUAAUUUAAAAUUUACAUAAAUUGAUGAAUUAUUGAUCCAUAAAUUAUAUUAUGAUUAUAAAAAUAAGUUACUUUAGGGAUAACAGCGUAAUUUUUUUAGAAAGUUCAUAUUGAUAAAAA